Molecule: non-coding RNA, 787 nt
Organism: Macaca mulatta (Rhesus monkey)
Lineage: Eukaryota; Metazoa; Chordata; Mammalia; Primates; Cercopithecidae
Source: RefSeq, a predicted model, not a curated record
CAUAGUCUAACUCUUGGAAGAUGAAAGGCCAUGUAGAAAAGAACCAAGAAACCCCAGUUAUCAGCCUGAACUGCUAUACAGGUCUGUCAGAAUAACUCGAAUCCUCAAGCUCUAAUCUAGUACUGAAUGACCCCCACAGUAUGAACAAUACCAGCAGAAAAAGUGCCCCAACUGUCAACCUACAGAAUAAAGAGAAAUGCCAAAAGUAACCUUGGAAAAAACAAGCACAUACCUGAAUAUAAUGGCGAAGAACAUACAGAAUUUCCUCAUUUUGAGCUUUUGCAGACAAUACUUUGUGAAAUGCACUAAAUGUUCUAGUACCCAUUUCGGCAUAGAGAAUCACCACUGGGAGAAGAUGGACCCACAAGAAUUCUACACAGGCAGUGGGUAUGGAUCACAUCUAACGAACACUGAGUGUGGGAAACCCAUCAUUUAAUAACAAGCAGAACUUCCUCUUCCAGAAGCUAUGUGUCAGUCAACAUCCCACCCAUAGCAGUCUCCAAAACUAUCAAGAACUGCAAAAAUCUAAGGUGUGCUUCUUAUGGAUAACCACAAAUGCAUUACAACCAUCUGGUGGUGGCUCAUCAGCUGCAAUCUAAGAUUUCAAAGAUUAUAUUUAGCUACAGUAGUUGAUAAUUACAAAACAAUUUUAAAACCCUCACACAUUACUUUGAUUAAAGUAACUCAUCAACUACUAUUAAGUUAUUGCUCCAAUUAAAGUGAAAAACAUCUAUAUGUAUGCAGAAUCUAAGAAAUAUUUUAAUAAAAUCAACUUUAUCCUAGGAAA